Molecule: ribosomal RNA, 253 nt
Filed under: uncultured bacterium
Lineage: Bacteria
Description: partial 16S ribosomal RNA
Rfam family: Bacterial small subunit ribosomal RNA
Source: RNAcentral
UACGUAGGGGGCUAGCGUUGUCCGGAAUCAUUGGGCGUAAAGAGCGUGUAGGCGGUCCGGUAAGUCCGCUGUGAAAGUCGGGGGCUCAACCCUCGGAUGCCGGUGGAUACUGUCGGGCUUGAGUACGGAAGAGGAGAGCGGAAUUCCUGGUGUAGCGGUGGAAUGCGCAGAUAUCAGGAAGAACACCCGUGGCGAAGGCGGCUCUCUGGGACGGUACUGACGCUGAGACGCGAAAGCGUGGGGAGCGAACAGG